Molecule: long non-coding RNA, 3096 nt
Filed under: Phaseolus vulgaris (common bean)
Lineage: Eukaryota; Viridiplantae; Streptophyta; Magnoliopsida; Fabales; Fabaceae
Description: long non-coding RNA (PVUL_LNC004727)
Source: RNAcentral
CUACAUAUGUUUAUCGAAAAAGGGUUUUAAAUAACCAGAGAGAGAUGAGAAUUGAAAAAAAAAAAAGAAUAUAGACAAUAUUAUGUCCAGAUGCAGUUUAUAGUUGAUGAGAGGUGGGUGGAUAAAGAGUAAAGAGUGUGAAAGAAAGGAAGGGUGAAGGGUGGCGCGGCGUGGCGAACCGUGAUUCUGGACAAGGCAUCAAUAGCGGACACCUAAGUCAACUCCACGUUAUGUUUUUUGAGGUUUUUUAGGUAAAACGGUAGCGGCUCGUCUCGUCACUGCUCGCCCCUUCGACCCCACACCAAAUCUAUAUUAAUUAUGAAACUUGUCUUUUCUUAAUACCCUUCCUUAAUACCACUACAUAUUUUAAUAAUACUUUUUCUUUAUUUUAAAUCAUUUUGUUACUUUCAUAAAUAUUUUCAAAUAUGGUUUAAUGUUUUAGCUUGACACCCGAAAUUUCUUUACAGUUAACUUUUCAUAUAUUCUCUAGUAGAGAGAAACUGUCGUGUUUCUUUAUUCUAACUAAUUUAAGAAAUAAAAUUUAAUAAGUACGAUUUUAUAUUGCUUUUAAGAUUGGAUAAUAAAUGCAUUAUCUCAUUUCAUUUCCGUUCUGGAUGAUGAUGAUGUAAUAAAAAAUAUAAAAUGAUAUGCAUAGAUAAGAAUAUUAAAAAUGAACAGCCAUUUCUUUUUUAAUUUAAACCGUGAAAUUGACGAAUUAAUUUUUUAUUAGAAGGUAGUAGCCACGAGCAAGCAUAAAAGACAACUCUAAAUGGAUCUGAAACGUCCUUACGAAUACCAAACGGGAUCGUUUUAAAGUGCGCCUCUUCGUCAUUCACAAAAAAUUAGUAAUUCCCCGUUUAAUAAUAAUAAUAAUCUUAAGAAAAAAAAUGUUUUCCAAUAUUUAAUUUUUUAUCCAUCUUUGUCAAUUUAUUUAUUCGUUCUAUGGAUUAUAUUUUAACAGUAAAUAAUUUAGUAGUAUAUAUUAACGUCAUUUCGUUUUGACUUGUAUUAGGUACAGCAUUGAGUUGAGAAACGGAACAGUUUUUGGAGAAAACGGGAAAGUGAAGAAGACGCGCUGGAGUAGAAGGUGUGAUGGACGCGCAGGAGCAAGACAGGAAUUUGCAUAGUAAAAUAUGUGGGUGUGGUGUGAAUUUCUAAACCCCGUUUGUUCCAUUUAGGAGAAUAAGCAUGGAAAGAAGAAGAGAGUAAUGGUUGUGGAUAGCUUUGUGUGUGAGUGCGUCCUUUUUAUUCUCUUGUCCUCUGCUACUGCCUUUACAACAAAAAUAAUACUAAUAUUUUAUUUCUCCCUCAACACAUUUUAUUUUAUUUUAUAACAAAUUAAAUUCCCAUUAUUUUUCUUCAAAAUACUCUAUUAAAAUUCUUAAUAUAGGCAUAAAGGCAUUCUAUUUCGAGAAUUAAUAUUCUUGUUAUGGUAUGUCCAAAAUUCAAAAUCAAUGUUUAAUAGUUUAUAACAAAAAUUCUUUUAAUUCAUAAAAAUAUCUUUUAAAAUAAAAUCGUGAUAAAAUUAAAAUAUUUUAAAAAAAAUACCUCAUAUGCUUUUGGUUAAUAUAAUAUUUUUUUCUAAAUAAAUUAAAAAGAAUCAUAUUUCACAUAACGAUACAAUCCUUGGGUUUAUGCAAUUUUGUAGGUCAUCCAUAAAACAAAAAAGUUAAGAGGAAUCUAUUCCCUUAUCUUGUAGAUCUCCCAGCCGUUGGAUCUUCACAGGUAAUCCCAUGGAAUUGGACUUGGACCGUUGGAUGGGAUCCUGUAGUGUCAGAUGGUCCCACCCGCACUCAUCGCCUCCACCGCCCACCCUUUUCAGCCAAAACCGGCUAAAGGCGAUUCAGGUUUGCUAGCCAUCACACUGUGGGCGCCCGCAUUGCAAGAGAAAAUUUUGCACCGUUGGAUCUGCUCAAUGGAGAUUAUGUUUUAACCAUCGAAGCGCGAAAUUUAGAAGGAAAAGUCAAAUUGGUUUCAUUUUCAGACACAGUUACAAAGUGCAAAAUAUUUAUAAUUAAUUAUUAAAAAAUUGUUUGGGAAUAUCAAGGAAAAAGAGGGGGUUUUUAAAGAAUAUACCUUUUGAUAUUCGGAUCCUAGAAUGCACGUGCCAUGUUUGAGGGUGAGUCAUCGAUGGGGUGGCUCAUCUCACACACACGCACACACAUGUCACCACUCACCAACACAACACAGCAUUUUCCAAAGAAGAUAAUAUAAAUAUAAUGUGUUGUUUUUGUUUUUGGAGAAAAUAUUGCGAAAUAGGAAAAGAAAGAAGCAAGAAAAAAAGUAGCAUGUGGAUCUGGACUCUGGACUUAGACCAUGUGUGCUUCUUUGUCCCACCAGAUCUUCCCUCUAUAUCUUAUUCUCACCACUUCCACUUGCACAGUUUCAACUUUUUCAAAAUAAAUUUUUUUAAUUAAUUUGUACAAUUAGGUAUCUUUACACUGUGCCCUACAACUCCAAACAUUACAUGAAAAAUUCAUUCAUCUUUGAAAGUUAACACACAUAGAACACAUGCUACAAAGCGGAAUGAAUACUACUUACAAUUACAAGAUAACAACACAAUAGAGCUUGAUAAAGAAAUAAUGGGUGAAGAAAUAGUGUUGAAAUAUCUGAAAAAUGUUUGUUUUGUUUAUUGUUUGAUUGAUGGGUGUGAGAUAAAUAUUUGUGGAAGGAGUUGAGAAAAUGGGAUUUGGAUGAGGGAGAUGAAAUGUAGAAAAAGGAAAGUGGGAAAAGAAUACAAGUGGAAGUAAAGGUUUGGAGGAAUGGGAAGGGUAGACUGAGAGUGACGUUUCUCCAUCCCCAAUUCUCCACAAACCACAAUCGUCCCUUUCACCACUUUAUGAUUCUUCUUCCAAUUCAAAGACCUUAGCAAUGGCUAAGGUAAUGCCACGUCUCCACAUGUUUUUUCAACAACAAAAAAUCUACCCUGCAAUCAAAGCAUAUUCUACCUUCAUUGUAACGAUUUUCCUGAAAUACAAGUAUUGCAUUCCAGACUAUUUACAGAUGUGAAUUGCUACACGUAGAAGAAAUAGUAUCACUUAAAAGAGAAACAAAAUUAUAUAAAAUCGAUUACUGAUUAUAACAUGUAAAUUGCCC